AUGACACGACAGCCAAAUUUAUAUUUCCUCGGAAUCAAGUCAGUCUCGCGAAAGGCUCUUUUCCAGAGGCUCACCGCGAAGAGCCCAGCAGGGCGAGGAGAAAGGCCGAGCCCCGACCCCAGGACGCCUCCCCGUCCCCAUCUUCCGCUCUUGACAAUGAGCGAGCUCCGUGUAACGGGCGGGGACACGGCUCUGUCUGGUCCUCACAGAUGGACACAUCUAUCAGCGUGUCAGCAUGGCCCUGGCAGUCCCUCCACUUCUAGAAUGCUUAUGCUCCACGAGCUCAUCCAAUUAGAGCACCAGGCCUGGUGCUGUGAAGUCACCGCUAUCAGAAUCGGUACCUGGAGGAGAAUAGGCCAGGGUUGACUAGAUGGAACACUGUGGUCCUCUUCCAGAGAAGAAAAGUUACAGCGCUUGAAGAGAGCAUAUAAAGCCAGUGUUAGAAAUACUGAAAUGGAAUCAACAGUGUUCGUGCCUGAGUGUAGAUUUUGUGGUCUUAAAGGUAAGCUAUUCAUGAAAACCUCAGGUCCAAUUCUUUUUCAUGCAGUUAUUUUCACUUUAUAGGAGAAGAAAAAAGAAUCCAACCAUAUAUUACUUGGGGCUGAAGGCAUGCCUUGUGAUUGUUUAUAAUAUGAUAAUGUCUUGUGGGAGGGCAGGACAUUAUUCUCACUAUGAGAUGAGAAAACCAAGCCUCAAGAGUCAAAAGUGAGUUGCCCAAAGUCAUGAAGGUUAUGUAGUCAAGACUUGACAGCAAGUUCUACUUUUUUGAUCCUGGCAGUGGCUGCUAUUUUCUGUUACAAUUCAAUUUAUCAAGAUAUGAAACAAAAUAUUCCCAAGACAGUUUAUCAAAGGACAAAACAUUAGUGGAGUAGUAUGUUUUUAAAGUUAAUUUACAUGCAUUUUUGCUUUUCCCAGCUUUUUAUUUUGAAAAAUUUUCAGAAUUCAGAAAAAUUUAAAAAUAGAAUACCUGUGUGCACUUUACCAAGAUAAAACAAUUUUUAAUAUUUUGCCACAUUUAUGAAUGCUUCCUAAAUAUUUAUAUACACCUAUUAUAUGUAUAUAUAUUUAUACUGGCAU
This 1077-nucleotide long non-coding RNA is filed under the name Canis lupus familiaris (dog). RNAcentral describes it as "lncRNA (ENSCAFG00845026484.1)". The record is from RNAcentral. Lineage: Eukaryota; Metazoa; Chordata; Mammalia; Carnivora; Canidae.